UGAGCGCUAAAACGAUAGCCCUCAUUGCGUGCCAACAUUGCCUACCAAAAACACCGACAUGUCAUUUUGUCCGCCAUCAUAACCUACCAUUACCCUCUGGCUGCAGAGGCGGACUAAGCCCGUCAGAGGCCCGGGGGCGACAUAGCUACAUGAGACCUCCCAGCUUUAAAAACAUUGGCGUAUUUAGGGUUUGCGAUUCGUUGACAGACCUUUGAAGUUUGUUAACCUAUAGUUAAGCCUUUGCUUUAACGUGCCGAGGGAAUAAAGUUCAAAAUAAUUAUGGUGGGAAAUAUAUUCCCACUGCCGUAUAAUAGUAAAGGGUUAAAGUUAGAUGGUGCAACCCAGCGUAACACAGAUAUUUCAAAACCGUAGUUGUCAUCAUCAGUCUGACACACCCGAGGAUUGCCGCAGCAAUUAAAGACAAGACCUUGUGUUUCAGCAGAUAAGUACUUUACAUAAGUAGGUAUGUACUUCUACGAUUCAGUGUCGAUAGACCAACAAAAUGUGCGUGCAAGAUUGCUAAAUAAUAGGAAAAACGUAUUUUGGCACCUGUGCUGUGUCCUCUUCGUUCUAUAGGAUUCUGAAUCCUCCUUCAUGCUACCUGGUUAAUAGGCAACCUAAUCUACCACUCCACGAGCGCGUGUAAAUUAACGAACUCCGUCAAUUACGGACCGGAAGAUGUAUGCAGGCCCCAUAUUCACUCGAUGGACCGCCGAUCUGUUGAAAGUCGCGGGAAGAGCCUGGAUGCGAGCAGCGUCGGAUGGUUGUAGAAACCCUUGAUUACUUUUUUUUCGAGUAAUAGACGUCAAAGCGAACGAACGAAAUUUACAUUUUAGCCCAACCGAACACCAAUCUAAAAAGCCUCUAAAAGCCCUCUAAAGUGACACGCUAAAGUAUCAUUGCCAUACGUUCACAAACGAUAGACUAUGUUUUGUAAUGUAACAUAAGUCAUUAAUGGAUAUGGGACCUCAGGAGUUAGAGUGCCUUUCUUAUCGGCCAGACAUGAAAAGGAAUUUCUCCAGACACUGUGGCAUUAUUGCAAUUGAAGGACAAAUAUGUGGGUGUACAAAUGUAGUAAGUAACAUAACAAGAUUUCAGGGUGUGGUUUAUUAUAGCAGAGCAGAUGUCAUUGAGAUUAUGAUUAAGGAAACUACUGACUAGAUACUGAAAUUGGCUACCACAAGCUUCAGUGACGUAAAGGAAAAGGACCAUUUAGUAGAGGCCAGAUACCUCAAACUUUUUGUCUCGUACGUCAAAUGAUACUUAAAACAUUUCUCCAAGGCCAGAACUUACCAAGAGUUGGCGGAAUUGUACCACCAACACAUUACUUUCUAGAUCUUUAGAAAUAAUCGUAUGGCCGUCAGUGGAUGCAAUGCCAGAUAUCCUUACCUUUUUAAAUGAUGAGUAUAAUCACUCUUGAAGAAAUUCUUCCUAAAACGUGCGCAGUAGUUCUGUGCGUUCAUAUAU
This is a long non-coding RNA of Ostrinia furnacalis (Asian corn borer), 1467 nucleotides long. RefSeq lists it as uncharacterized. The transcript is spliced from 2 exons. NCBI's taxonomy places the organism in Eukaryota, Metazoa, Arthropoda, Insecta, Lepidoptera, Crambidae. The record is from RefSeq and is a predicted model, not a curated record.